Molecule: ribosomal RNA, 253 nt
Filed under: uncultured bacterium
Lineage: Bacteria
Description: partial 16S ribosomal RNA
Rfam family: Bacterial small subunit ribosomal RNA
Source: RNAcentral
UACGCAGGGGGCUAGCGUUGCUCGGAAUGCCUGGGCGUAAAGGGCGCGUAGGCGGCUUGCACCGUCAGAUGUGAAAUUCCUGGGCUUAACCUGGGGGCUGCAUUUGAUACGUGUGGGCUUGAGUGCGGAAGAGGGUCGUGGAAUUCCCAGUGUAGAGGUGAAAUUCGUAGAUAUUGGGAAGAACACCGGUGGCGAAGGCGGCGACCUGGUCCGUGACUGACGCUGAGGCGCGAAAGCGUGGGGAGCAAACAGG